ACCUGAUUGGCUCAGUCAGAGGAGUGUGUGACUCCUGAUUUCAGGGUCGUGAGUUCAAACCCCACGUUGGGUA
This 73-nucleotide transfer RNA is filed under the name Felis catus (domestic cat). It matches the Rfam family "tRNA". From Rfam's summary of the family: Transfer RNA (tRNA) molecules are approximately 80 nucleotides in length. Their secondary structure includes four short double-helical elements and three loops (D, anti-codon, and T loops). Further hydrogen bonds mediate the characteristic L-shaped molecular structure. tRNAs have two regions of fundamental functional importance: the anti-codon, which is responsible for specific mRNA codon recognition, and the 3' end, to which the tRNAs corresponding amino acid is attached (by aminoacyl-tRNA synthetases). tRNAs cope with the degeneracy of the genetic code in two manners: having more than one tRNA (with a specific anti-codon) for a particular amino acid; and 'wobble' base-pairing, i.e. permitting non-standard base-pairing at the 3rd anti-codon position. The record is from Rfam by way of RNAcentral. Lineage: Eukaryota; Metazoa; Chordata; Mammalia; Carnivora; Felidae. RNAcentral also lists the same sequence under 2 other names.